UACAGAGGGUGCAAGCGUUGUUCGGAAUUACUGGGCGUAAAGCGCGUGUAGGCAGCGACUGCAAGUCGGGUGUGAAAGCCCUGGGCUCACCCUAGGAAGUGCACUCGAAACUGCAGGGCUUGAGUUCUGGAGAGGAAGGCGGAAUUCUCGGUGUAGAGGUGAAAUUCGUAGAUAUCGAGAGGAACAUCGGUGGCGAAGGCGGCCUUCUGGACGGCGACUGACGCUGAGACGCGAAAGCGUGGGGAGCAAACAGG
RNAcentral lists this ribosomal RNA (254 nucleotides) under uncultured bacterium. Its description in RNAcentral is "partial 16S ribosomal RNA". It matches the Rfam family "Bacterial small subunit ribosomal RNA", at positions 524 to 776 of the family's 1533-position model. The record is from RNAcentral.